GCUUCCUCCAAAACUUAAUAUAGAACUCUCCAAAUUCUAAACCAAGUUUAUAAACCUCUGCUGUUUUUGAAAAGACAUGACCAGAAUCUUGAUCUUGCACACAUUAUAUUAGCAUGGAGAGAAAUAGAAAUAUGACCUACUUACUUCCUUUUCCCCUCCUCAUUAUACACCUAAUCACUUUCUUCAACUAAUCACAGCAGAGAAUUUAUAAUUUUAGAGUAAAGAGCAGAGAGAAUGUAUAACUUUAAAUUUUUCAGUCAUCAAAUGCCUUUAGCUGAGACAUCUCGGUUGCAAUU
Molecule: long non-coding RNA, 296 nt
Filed under: Bos taurus (domestic cattle)
Lineage: Eukaryota; Metazoa; Chordata; Mammalia; Artiodactyla; Bovidae
Description: long non-coding RNA NONBTAT023961
Source: RNAcentral